RNAcentral lists this long non-coding RNA (516 nucleotides) under Homo sapiens (human). Its description in RNAcentral is "non-protein coding lnc-TRAK1-1:1". Lineage: Eukaryota; Metazoa; Chordata; Mammalia; Primates; Hominidae. The record is from RNAcentral.
GCAAGCCGCCCGCUCGCGGGGGAGCCAUGGCGAGAGGCCGCGCGGCGGCGCCCGCAACAGUGCCCGCGUCCGCAGCAGCGCCCCCGCCCGCCGCCCCGGGGCCCACCCGGCCGCCGCCCCCGCGCGCCCCGAGCCCUUGACGCCCGCGCGCCUCAAGCGAGGCGUCCCCCAGAGUGGGGCCGCGCGCGGGAGAGCCGGAGCGCAGCCUUAGCGUCCCCGAGAGUCUCGAACGCCCCGACGACCCCCGCGUCUCGGAACCCCGGACUCCGAGCCCAGGAGCGCCAGAGCGGCAGGCGGGCAGCAGGAGGCGGCGGCGCCAGAGCGGAGCCCCCGCGAGUGCCCCCGUGCCGCCCGGCCGGCUGCAGCGGAGGGAACCGAAGCCGCCGGGCGGCCGGGGCCGGGCCGAGAACGACGCGGAGGAAGCCCCCACCGAGGCCCCCCGGCACCGCGCCUGCUGCCGGGUUGCGCUCCGUGCACCUCUUGCGGACUCUCUGCCUCAUUCCUUGAAGACUGGGA